RNAcentral lists this unclassified non-coding RNA (304 nucleotides) under Hevea brasiliensis (rubber tree). The record is from RNAcentral. Lineage: Eukaryota; Viridiplantae; Streptophyta; Magnoliopsida; Malpighiales; Euphorbiaceae.
UUAUUUAUUUAUUUUGUUCUGUGUUUAUUUUUCUAAAUGGUGAAAAGCAUUUACUAACAAUGUUCCUACAGCAUUUACCUUACACAGUAUCUAACAAAACAUGCUUAAUCUACAUCUGUUGCAAGUUGGUCCUUGAGUAAAUUACACAUCAUGAACGUCAAACUAACUUAGGAGUAGGCCAGCAAGCCAAGUAUGUAAAAGAACUUGCGCUCUGGCAGAGAAUAGAUCAUCUCUGGGCUUGGUCUGAACCUGAAGGUCCAACAGGAGGAGCAGCACUGCUUGCUGACCCAUUCUCAGCAGGAGG